UGCCUUGAAGAUCGGAGUGCUUGCACUCUGUGAAACAAGAUACAGGCUAGCGGCGGACGGGUGAGUAACACGUGGGUAACCUGCCCAAGAGAUCGGGAUAACACCUGGAAACAGAUGCUAAUACCGGAUAACAACAGAUGAUGCCUAUCAACUGUUUAAAAGAUGGUUCUGCUAUCACUCUUGGAUGGACCUGCGGUGCAUUAGCUAGUUGGUAGGGUAACGGCCUACCAAGGCGAUGAUGCAUAGCCGAGUUGAGAGACUGAUCGGCCACAUUGGGACUGAGACACGGCCCAAACUCCUACGGGAGGCAGCAGUAGGGAAUCUUCCACAAUGGACGCAAGUCUGAUGGAGCAACGCCGCGUGAGUGAAGAAGGGUUUCGGCUCGUAAAGCUCUGUUGUUGGUGAAGAAGGACAGGGGUAGUAACUGACCUUUGUUUGCCGGUAAU
RNAcentral lists this ribosomal RNA (446 nucleotides) under uncultured Lactobacillus sp. Its description in RNAcentral is "bacterial SSU rRNA". It matches the Rfam family "Bacterial small subunit ribosomal RNA", at positions 56 to 486 of the family's 1533-position model. Lineage: Bacteria; Bacillati; Bacillota; Bacilli; Lactobacillales; Lactobacillaceae. The record is from RNAcentral.